Molecule: unclassified non-coding RNA, 1179 nt
Filed under: Hevea brasiliensis (rubber tree)
Lineage: Eukaryota; Viridiplantae; Streptophyta; Magnoliopsida; Malpighiales; Euphorbiaceae
Source: RNAcentral
GCACGGACGGGACUCGUAGCCACUCGUCAAUACCAAUCCUUCCACCAGGAGAUUUUGGAAGGUCCAGAGAUUUUACUAGAGGUGAGGGUCCAACACCAGUAGACCAUACCAAUAAACCAUAUGGAACCUCUGAGCCAUCAUUAAGAAUUAGUUUCUGAGGCUCAACAUCUUUGACAAUCCCACGGACAAGGCGAACACCUGACUUUGUCAACUGCUUAGUAGCAUAACGACGGAGCCGAUCAUCAAAGGAAGAUAAUAUCUCAUUCGCCUCAAUCAAUGUAACAUGGAUAUAAUCUUUCACAUGGGCAUAUCUUUGACGAACAUCUCUCAUGAUAAAAUCACUAAGUUCACCACUGAAUUCAACUCCAGUGGGGCCACCUCCAACAACAACACAAUGUAACAAUCUUCUCUUCUCUUCUUCUGAAAUACCAGGUACAUCAGAAAGCAUCAAGUUCAGGAGUAGCUUUCUCCGAAUUUCCUGGGCAUGGUGAACUUCCCGAAGAAAAAUUGCAUGUUCUUUGACACCCUGGAUCCCAAAUGUUGAGGCCUCUGCUCCUAAUGCAAUUACCAAUUUGUCAUAUGAGAUAUCGAACUUCCGUGGAUCCAUGGUGUAUCCAUCAGUAACGGUCUGACAAUGCACCAAAUGGUUAUGAGUAUCGAGACCAGUGCAGUUGGCGAGAAAGUAGAAGGAUCCGGGUUCCUUAGAAAUGGCAGGCUGGAUGCGGGCGAUGGGUUCAGCCACUGACCUGAACUCGAGGGUGCCGACACAAGUGGAAGCCAGCAGAGGGGUGAAGACCAUGUGGUUCCGGGGGGAUACGCAAACGACAUCGUACAACUUGGUGUCUAUGCCCUUCAUGAGGCGGCAGCCAGCCCAGCCCGACCCCAACACGACGACCCUUGGUUUCUCAUUGGGCUUGGUGGGGCCUAGGCCGCCAUACUGUGUUGGCGACGGUGAUGAACGGUUGUGAUUGUGAAGGGAGGCGUCGGUGGUGAAAUGGGAGAGAGAAGAGAACAAAAAGUUGGGAGAAGUAGUUAAAAUCAGGGGUUUGGCUGUGAUGGAUGGAGAAGAUGCUGAUUUGAUAGCUGAGAAUCGAAUUAGGUUCCCAACCCAAGCCAUGGCUGUGCCGGUGCGUUAUCCAAGAUGUUUGGCGACGAUCGAUAUCAAAUUCAACAGACCAG